GUAAAAACAAGCCGCCCAGCUCCCCUGCAGGCAGGCGGAUGGACAAACGGCACUGCUGGGACCCUGCUUGGCCAUGGGGGAAGGACACACACAGCCUGGGUGAGUCCCCGAAUCACUGUACCGAGUGGAAGAUGUCAGAGGAAACCACGUACGCACUGCAGGAGGCCAUUAUGCAAAGCUCUAGAAGAUGCAAAUUAACCUACAGUGACUGAAGGCAGAAAGAAAACAAAAAGCAGCCCAAGGCGAAAAAGUCGAUCCUGUGCCCUGAGCACAGGCAGUCCUGAGGUGCGAGCGGUUUCCCACCAGGCUCUUCUUGGCCUUUCGAGAACUUCAGCCCCUCUCUGCUGUUUCCUGUUGCUGGCAUCCACUUUCCCAUCUCACAAUAUUUUCUCCUGUCUGGUCUCCUGUAUCUGAAACCCACUGCUACGGGAUCUCCCCUCUUUCUGGAAAAUGUUCAUUAAACAGGAAACAAACCCACC
Long non-coding RNA from Homo sapiens (human), 479 nucleotides. Ensembl annotates it as MAPK8IP3 antisense RNA 1. Its record names the gene MAPK8IP3-AS1. The record is from Ensembl. Lineage: Eukaryota; Metazoa; Chordata; Mammalia; Primates; Hominidae.